CUGGAGUGUACAUUUAAAUUAGUUCAAGGUGGGCACAGGUGGCUCAUCCCAGUAACCCCAGCACUUUGGGAGGCCAAGGUGGAGGAUCACUUGAGCCCAGGAUUUCCAGACCAGCCUGGGUA
Long non-coding RNA from Sapajus apella (tufted capuchin), 122 nucleotides. RefSeq lists it as uncharacterized. The transcript is spliced from 4 exons. The record is from RefSeq and is a predicted model, not a curated record. Lineage: Eukaryota; Metazoa; Chordata; Mammalia; Primates; Cebidae.